CCUACGGGCGGCAGCAGUCGAGAAUCAUUCACAAUGGGGGAAACCCUGAUGGUGCGACGCCGCGUGGGGGAAUGAAGGUCUUCGGAUUGAAAACCCCUGUCAUGUGGGAGCAAAUUAAAAAGAUAGUACCACAAGAGGAAGAGACGGCUAACUCUGUGCCAGCAGCCGCGGUAAUACAGAGGUCUCAAGCGUUGUGCGGAAUCACUGGGCGUAAAGCGUGCGUAGGCUGUUUCGUAAGUCGUGUGUGAAAGGCGCGGGCUCAACCCGCGGAUGGCACAUGAUACUGCGAGACUAGAGUAAAGGAGGGGGAACCGGAAUUCUCGGUGUAGCAGUGAAAUGCGUAGAUAUCGAGAGGAACACUCGUGGCGAAGGCAGGUUCCUGGACAUUGACUGACGCUGAGGCACGAAGGUCAGGGGAGCGAAAGGGAUUAGAUACCCGAGUAGUC
Molecule: ribosomal RNA, 446 nt
Filed under: uncultured bacterium
Lineage: Bacteria
Description: partial 16S ribosomal RNA
Rfam family: Bacterial small subunit ribosomal RNA
Source: RNAcentral